UGGGGAAUAUUGCACAAUGGGCGCAAGCCUGAUGCAGCCAUGCCGCGUGUGUGAAGAAGGCCUUCGGGUUGUAAAGCACUUUCAGCGAGGAGGAAGGUGGUGAACUUAAUACGUUCAUCAAUUGACGUUACUCGCAGAAGAAGCACCGGCUAACUCCGUGCCAGCAGCCGCGGUAAUACGGAGGGUGCAAGCGUUAAUCGGAAUUACUGGGCGUAAAGCGCACGCAGGCGGUUUGUUAAGUCAGAUGUGAAAUCCCCGGGCUCAACCUGGGAACUGCAUUUGAAACUGGCAAGCUAGAGUCUCGUAGAGGGGGGUAGAAUUCCAGGUGUAGCGGUGAAAUGCGUAGAGAUCUGGAGGAAUACCGGUGGCGAAGGCGGCCCCCUGGACGAAGACUGACGCUCAGGUGCGAAAGCAUGGGGAGCAAACAGGAUUAGAUACCCUGGUAGUCCACGCUGUAAACGAUGUCGAUUUUGGAGGUUGUGCCCUUGAGGCGUGGCUUCCGGAGCUAACGCGUUAAAGUCGACCGCCUGGGGGAGUACGGCCGCAAGGUUAAAACUUAAAGGAAUUGAC
This 570-nucleotide ribosomal RNA is filed under the name uncultured bacterium. RNAcentral's name for it is "partial 16S ribosomal RNA". It matches the Rfam family "Bacterial small subunit ribosomal RNA", at positions 355 to 914 of the family's 1533-position model. The record is from RNAcentral.